This 674-nucleotide small RNA is filed under the name Arabidopsis thaliana (thale cress). Its description in RNAcentral is "ATSL051670". Lineage: Eukaryota; Viridiplantae; Streptophyta; Magnoliopsida; Brassicales; Brassicaceae. The record is from RNAcentral.
UUAAUUUUUAAGUUUAUUACAAUAAAAAAAUCGAUUUUAUUAAUAUUUUACGAGAAGCUUGAGCUAAAAUUCCUGAAAAUUUUGUUUUAUGAUUAUAUUGGUAAUAAUCCAGCAAAAGAAGAGUUAUUCCGAAUAGGUUCCCUGGAAAAUUGGGAUUGAAUAGAUGUUGGAUGACUAGAAUACCUCGUCUUUAGAAAUAAAGAAGGCUGUGAACUUUUUGUACGACGUAUGCCUACUUCUUUGAAAUUUUGUGGUUGUUUUAAUACUUGCAUUUGGUUUUUGGCUCAAUUUAUAAGUAAUCGGAAGUUUUUAUUAGUAUGUAUAUUUUUAUGCAAGCGAUAGGAUAAACAAAUUUUAGUAAAGAAUAAGGAUAAUAACUCAUUCCAUCGUAUUAUACAUUAUAUUUAACCACCACCAAUUAUAAAUAUAUCUAUUAUAAAAAGAUCAAAUUAGAGUACUUAUAAUUUUUUAACUUUUUGAUCUAUUAAGUAUUGAUGACAUUCUUUAAAAAUAUCAAGUAAAACUAUUUUCAAAUGUUCUAUAUAAUAGUACUUUCCAAAUAAUAGUAUAAAAGUUUAGAAAAAAAUAUAUGAGAAAGCCAAAUAAUCUAUUGUUAGAUGCAUAAACCGUUUUUAUUUUUAAAUGGACUAAACUACUAAGAAAACAUGGACACC